CAUGUUGCUGCUUCAAGCGACUGUCUACUGACCACUCACUGUGGUUGAUAUUUGACCAUGCUGGUGCCAAAUCAUAUUUACCUAAAUAAUUUUUACAUAUCUCAUUAAAUUUAAUUUUAUUUAAACAUUUUUCUGUCCAGACAGUAUUUUUGCAUUAAAAGUAGGAUUUUUCCAUCACUAUUGAAUCAAAGUGAUUUUUUUUUUUAAUGACAAACUUAGUUUGACUCUGUGCUAAGCAAGGUGAUAGGGAUAGGGCACAAACUGAGUCAGUUAUGUCUCCUGCCUCUCAGUAUCUUAUGGUAAAGAUACAGUCGCAUUUGGGGACAAAAUUUAGAUCAAUUCAAAUCUUUGUCGCAAGAAAGAGAGAGAAAAAUGACCUUAAAAAACUGUGCUAGCCAGAAAGGGAUUCAUUUGAAAUGAGUAUUGAAGCGUGUGUUGGGAAGAAUGAUUUAAUACUGAAGAAAGACAUUUUAGGUAAAGAGAAUAGAAGACAAAGAUGCGCCUGAAGCAGUGAGAUUCCCCGAGGGAUUUCAGAAGCAGCUGGUAGUCCGGUGUGGCUGGGAUUUAGUUCCUCUAAGGCCCUUAUUUAAUUACACUAAUGCUUUCAGCAUCUCCCUGCGUCUUGGGUAGUGGAAGAUUGCCUGGCCUACCUUUACAGUGUUGAUCUUGGGAACAUCCUAAUCACGCAAGUCAAUCUUACUUUGAACCCUUUCCCUGAAGCCCAGCGGUCACCUUUGGUGUCAGCAACACUUUAAGAAUUGAUUUCCGUUCCCUUAGCAAUUCGCAUUAUUGUCAAGAGAGUCCCCAGUGAAACAGUAAUAUAUUUCUCAUAUUUCCAAUAUGCAUGACACACAUAACACUUAUAAGUCUAUUGCCUUUUCAGAAACAAUCAUCAAAGUGCAAGAUAUGUUAUCAGGAAAAUACCCUACAGGACUUUGUAAUAGAUGCCAAUGGCUUCAAGAUUCUGCAGACCCAGACUUUCUGAACAGUCCCUCUUGAGUAAAGAAUUAAGGAGUAGAGUAGUGAAGUUGUAGGGCCUGCCUCAAUGUACCUAAAGCCCAGUUUGGGAAAGGCCAGGAGCUGGAAGGUUACAAUGUUGGUGAGAACAUCCAUCAUUUAAGAAGAAACCUGGAGAGACAAGAGGACUGAGUAAAUUCACAAGGAGAAAACUCUUAGAUAUGAACAGCAGCAAAGCUGCAAACCUGAAACUUCUAUGAUGAUCCUUUAAACAGAAGAUACCUGAGAUUCAUAUGUUGAACUCAUUGACUUUUUAAGGAGAACUAACCAUGGGCCAGAUACUAUUCCAGGUGCCAGAGGUAUGCCAGUGAAAUAAAACUGAAAAAUGUUUCUUCCUCAUGAAGGUAACAUAAUGCUACAUGUGAUUUUAUUCUCAAAACAACCCUCCAUGGAAAUAUUCCUAUUACCUCUCUUUUAUAGAUGAGGAAAUUGAGGCUCAUACAGGUUGAAUAACAUGACCAUCAUCACACAGCCUGAAUGUAUUAUAACUGGGAUUUGAUCUCAGAUAGCCUGGCUCUUGGCCAUUACUCUAUACAAUGUCCUGUUUCUAUUACCUACAAAAGAACAAGUGAGCUAAUAUUUCUUAUUAACCUUGGACCAGUUACUUUGGGGAGAGCUUUAAACAUGUCAUCUCAUUGUUUACUUUCCUGCAAAGAACUUGAUUGGGAUCCUGAUUUCCAUGAUGAAUAAAAAGAAAAUGAGAUGUUAGAAGAUAGAGAGUUGGAAGAUUGGUAUACUUCCUGGACAUUUUAAAUAGUUCAUGUUUUGUUUUUUCAUUUCUCUUUUGGCCAUAUCCGUGGCAUUCCAAAGUUCCUGGGCCAGGGAUUGAACCUGCCUCACAGCAGUGACCAUGCCCUGUUCUUAACUGCUAGGCCACUAGGGAACUCCUACAGUUCAUGUUUUAAGUGUGGUAAUAUGUGAUCACAUUUUUAAAAAAAGAUUCCAUAUAUUCUAAAUAUACAUACUGACAUAAAUAUAUGAUUUGCUUUAAAUAGGCUUGGAGUGGGAUGAGGCAUAAAUGUGAAAUCUCACUGGCCACAAGUUGAUUAUGAGUAAGCUGCGUGAUGGGCACAUGAGAGUUUCUUAUGCUAUAAUCUCUACUUCUGUAGAUAUUUGCAACUUUUCGUAAAAAAGUUAAAAGAAGAAUAUCUCAGAACAUGCUAUUUCUUGUUGUGGCUUAUUAGCUGUAAUCUUAGUACUACCAAAGAAAUUUUAACAGAAUGUCAAACAAUUACUCUUUCACUUGUAAGCUUGUAAUUUACUAAAAAUAAUUCUGAUACAGCCCCACCACUAACAUAUACCAGGGCCUGAGUGAGAGUGAAGUGGUACCCAUGUUCCUUAUGUCCAGUAUAUAAAGUCAUAAGCCAGAUUACUGAACUAGCAAAGAAAAUAUGUCCUACUCCCUUACGUGGAUAAGUAUACCUUCAUUAUGUCCUGGAAGACCAAAUUCAGGUUUAAAAUUCUUAGAUUCCUUUCUGUGUUUUGUACCAGACAACCAACCCCUAACUCCUGACCUGCAGCCCCAUGGUUUGGAACCCUCCCUUUCUCUUCCCACUCUAAGCCCUGCCUUUCCUUACCAUGAGGGGCCUCAGCGCAUCCUUCAGUUUUCACUUCUAUGUCCUUUUCAGAGUUUCUGUGUGCUACCACUCCUUGGGGCCUCGAGUGUGUAGGAUGGUCCAUACAGGUCCUAGAAGCAGGCUCAGGGCCCUUUGGAAGGAAAUUCCUGGUGCAUAAGUAGCCAGAGCAUCCUGAGGCAGAGGGGAGCCACUGAUUCCAUGCAGGUGCAUCCUUAUCACCCUGUGAAGCCCUCAGCUGGUGGAAAUCAAUGGUUACAGGAGGGUCAGAGCAGAACCUGCUACAACUCAGGGCCAGAGUUUGGUAUCUCGUGCCUGGAUCCAAGGGAGAUAAGUCUCUGUUGGCUUAAGUUCUCCAAUUCUUACAAGAAACCCUUAAUUUGGCUCACAUUAUUUGACUUUGUUCAUUCCUUUUGACAUUUAUCUUUUGCAAACCGUAACAAUUUAGCUCAAAUACAACUGAAUACUGGUCUUCUCUUUAAAAAAUUAUUUUUUGCUUUCAAAGUGUAAUUGGCAACUUCAAGGGAUUUAUCUGCCCGUCUGUUUGGUGGAAUGAACACCAACUCAAAAC
RNAcentral lists this long non-coding RNA (3162 nucleotides) under Sus scrofa (pig). RNAcentral describes it as "lncRNA (ENSSSCG00025021036.1)". Lineage: Eukaryota; Metazoa; Chordata; Mammalia; Artiodactyla; Suidae. The record is from RNAcentral.